RNAcentral lists this long non-coding RNA (1291 nucleotides) under Setaria italica (foxtail millet). Its description in RNAcentral is "long non-coding RNA (SITA_LNC007202)". The record is from RNAcentral. Lineage: Eukaryota; Viridiplantae; Streptophyta; Magnoliopsida; Poales; Poaceae.
CGGCUUGCAAGUUGCAACAUAUCACUCUAACUAGGCCUGUCAUUGCAUUUGCCGGUAACAAGAUCUGCUAGUUUCUCUCUGCACCCACUGAAACUGACGGCCAAGUAUUGAUGAGAAGCAUACUAGCUACAUACGAGAUCAAGUUUCUCGAGGGAAUUCAUCCCUUUCAACUAGCUAGUAUAUAGGUAUAUAAAUUGCAACACCAAUUCUAUAUUCAGUACGACUCUUUGUGCUCAACUUCAUGGGAACGAGCUCAAAGAGAAGCGCGCUCUGCUUUUUUUUUUUAAGCUCCAGUUCUGAUCCCACAAUAAUAAAAUCGAAAUCAUUAUCCUAUAUGGAACUGUGUCCCCAUUCACCUUAAUCUAAAAAAACUCUCCAUUCUCGUCAUUCUAAAAGAUCAACAAGUACUUCAUUUGUACAUAAAACUCAUUCUAAAAACUUUCCAUUCUCCUCACUCUAAAAGAUUGACAAGCUAGUACUCCAUUUGUAACAUAAAACUUAUUCUAAAAAACUUCCCAUUCACCUCACUCUAAAAAACUCUCCAUUCUCCUCGUUCUAAAAAAUCAACAAGUACUUCAUUUGUAACAUAAAACUCAUUCUAAGAAAAUCUCCAUUCUCCUUACUCUAAUAAAGCAACAAGUACUCCAUUUGUAACAUAAAACUAGCUCGUUCAAAAAAAAAUUAGAAUACUAUGAUCAGAGGAUGGAGGAUGAAGUUGCUAACCGGUCUAGUGAAGAACCUGGUCGAGUGAAGAAAAAUGAAGCCCGAGCAAAUGGUUGAGCUUGCUCAGGGAGAAAGCUAAGGAAGCAGCUCAUUUAUAGAGCAAAUGGUCGACAUUAGUACCAGCUAAGGUUCAACCGGUACCAAAUGGUUUCAAUUAGUACCGGUUGAUGCUACCAACCGGUACUAAAUGGAAUUCUCACCAUUUAGUACCGGCUGGCUUCCUGGGGAAUCUAGCUGUCGGCCACGCAGUCGACGUGCCGCCAUUUAGUACUAGCUGAGGCUUCAAACCAGUACUACAGGGGCUCUGGUGGCACUGUGUGUGACAAACGGUACUAACACAGUGCAUUAGUACCGGAUGAAAAAACGUCCGGUACUAACGUGUUGGACGAAUGCUUAGUUUUCCAGUAGUAUACAUACGAGAUCAAGUAUCUUGAGGGAAUUCAUCCCUUUCAACUAGCUAGUAUAUAGGUAUAUAAAUUGCAACACCAAUUCUAUAUUCAGUACGACUCUUUGUGCUCAACUUCAUGGGAACGAGCUCAAGAGAAGCACGCUCUGUUUUUUUUAAGCU